CGCCUGAAAGGGGAUGGAGUUCCCCCUGGUAACCGCCGUGAUGCUGAUGACUCCUGUUGUUUU
Molecule: non-coding RNA, 63 nt
Filed under: Desulfonatronospira thiodismutans
Lineage: Bacteria; Pseudomonadati; Thermodesulfobacteriota; Desulfovibrionia; Desulfovibrionales; Desulfonatronovibrionaceae
Also listed under: 1 other name
Description: Fluoride sequence
Rfam family: Fluoride riboswitch aptamer (crcB RNA motif)
Source: RNAcentral